UAUACCAAAAUAAACCCCUUUUCACUCCCCGCUGGAUUGAAAAAUUCAAAGAUUAAAAAUAUACAAUCCCGCUUUUCAGUUUUCACAUACCCACGAAAUCUUCCUCAACCUCCCUCUACCCUCAACCGACUAGCCCUCACUCUAGACAUUCUUCAGCAAAAUCUCAAAUUAUUCUCAAAAUAAUCCCAGAUUAUUAUCAGCAAAAUGAGCUCCUCAACUCAAUUCUCUCUAAUCCCUUUCAAGUUAAAUAGGAAAUCUGUAGAAGCAUAUAAUUCUCACUUUCAUCGCUAAUUUCCUCUUUAAUUACAAGCUUCUUUGGAUUUCACGAUUUGAUUUUAUAAUUGCAAUAUUGAAGAUUCAUUCGAACCCAAUCGCAACACCGUCAACAGAUCCAUCACCGCUAAUUUCACUGAUGAGAAAAGGCAUACUGCAAGGGGUUGGUCAAUGCCUAAUCCGCGAGUUUAGAAUGGUUUGCCAUGCUUUGCAAGGAGAUGUCAGCAAAGUUUUUUUUGAGUUAUUAAGUUGUUUUUCCUGUCAUAUAUAUGGCAUGUGUGUGGCUAUUAAGUUCUUGAUUCUACCGCAGCGUUGCCGAGCAAUCUUGGUUGACAAAGACAAAAAAUCUUAAGAGAGCCUCUUUCACCUGGUAGAGGUUCACGAAGACAUGAUGGUCGCAGCAAAGAGAGCACAAUGACAUGGGAUAGAGAAGGAAAUUGCACACAUAUAUCUCCUGGACUAGUCGACAAGAUGAAUGGAGAUGAUGGCAUUUAAGUCGGUCCACGAGGAAUGGUUGGAGCUGCCCUCACAGGACUAGUAAGAGCAGAAGGAGGGGGAGUCGGAGCCAGAGUCCAGCCCCUAACUUUAGAUGGGAGCCUACAUCGAUUGAUAGGAUUAGAAGAAGAUUAAUUUGGAGUUUCAGCACAAGUAUGUAGAGAUUUUGCUGCUGGAAGAUGCAUGAGAAGGAACAGUUGCCAUUUCCUUCCAUCCUUGAUUUUAGAAGGUGGUGCUUGGCCGAUAAUUCAGGCAGCAAAUUUCCGGUAUGUACAUGUGAGGUAUCAGCUCCUGUACGUCAACAUGUUCUUCCUGUUGGAUAGUGCAUUUCUUUCAUGGUUUGAACAGCAGAAUGAUGCAGCAUGGAAACAGUGGUUCGCAUAUUCUCUCCCCGUGAAGGAAGAAGAGGGGACAAGACAUUUGAGAGGGUACUCUGGAUUUCUGGUUACCUUCAACUCAACAGGUGUUGUUCCUUGUGUAUAUCACUUUCACAUCUGAUUAUAGCAAAGAAAUAUGGAGCAACCAAGGCACGGUUUGAUAGUACGUUAAUUGUGAAGAUGGGUAGAUACGCAUAUGGUUGAAGAGAGGGGCGAUGAUCGUACUGCCAGCAUAAUCUAUCAUCGUGCUUGUUCGAAUUUCAACAAUUGCAUAAGGUAUUGAUAUAUCUAAUUAUCUUCAUAAAAUUUCUCUUUUCCUCUUUUGAA
Molecule: long non-coding RNA, 1472 nt
Organism: Spinacia oleracea (spinach)
Lineage: Eukaryota; Viridiplantae; Streptophyta; Magnoliopsida; Caryophyllales; Amaranthaceae
Exons: 7
Source: RefSeq, a predicted model, not a curated record